UACGUAGGGUGCGAGCGUUGUCCGGAAUUAUUGGGCGUAAAGAGCUCGUAGGCGGUCUGUCGCGUCGGCUGUGAAAACCCGGAGCUCAACUCCGGGCCUGCAGUCGAUACGGGCAGACUGGAGUUCGGCAGGGGAGACUGGAAUUCCUGGUGUAGCGGUGAAAUGCGUAGAUAUCUGGAGGAAUACCGGUGGCGAAGGCGGCAUCCUGGACCGGCAUUGACGCUGAUGAGCGAAAGCUAGGGGAGCAAACGGG
RNAcentral lists this ribosomal RNA (253 nucleotides) under uncultured bacterium. RNAcentral describes it as "partial 16S ribosomal RNA". It matches the Rfam family "Bacterial small subunit ribosomal RNA", at positions 524 to 776 of the family's 1533-position model. The record is from RNAcentral.